Molecule: long non-coding RNA, 374 nt
Organism: Mauremys reevesii (Reeves's turtle)
Lineage: Eukaryota; Metazoa; Chordata; Testudines; Geoemydidae
Exons: 2
Source: RefSeq, a predicted model, not a curated record
AAAACUAGCGUAGAGCAACAGCGACAUCUAUCCGUCUCUGCCGGGUAGGGAGCCCGGGACCUUCACUUUGAACAAAGGAGAAAAAGCUCCCCCGGUUUGCGGGAGUUUGUUUACCAAUGAACCAACGCGUGUCUACAGCAGAGUGGGGGGAAGCGAAACCCAAAAAAAAAAAAAAAAAAAAAGGGGGAAGCGAAAGCGCAAAUACGAGCAAAGUCAAAUCCAAAUAAAAAGACCCAGAAGCCUUUAUAGAAUCUAGAGGAAAUGUCGUAUCUGUGUGUGCUGUUGGAAAUAGACGAUCCACCGUGGAAACCUCAUAUUUUAGGAAAGUGUAAAUGUUGUGUUUAUAAAAUAAAGAUUUACAUUGUUAACAGUCA